GUAGAGCAUUCGUCUUCUGGUUACGGGGCCAUAGCUCAGCUGGGAGAGCGCGUGCUUUGCAAGCAUGAGGUCGUCGGUUCGAUCCCGUCUGGCUCCACCAGAUGGUUUGAUCACCGAGAUCUUGACCGUCGUCCGCGAAACAUCACUUCGCAUCCUGCUAGUCUGGAUAGACAGCAGUUUGCGUGUUUUCUGACAUCGUAAAGAGGAGAUCGAUCCGAGUUGGGUCGUGCAGCAUAUCGUUGCGCGAGCCUUCAUUAUCUCCGGAUCAUUUCGGCGCUCGCUUCCAGCCGUGAGGUUGGAUGCGGGUUGUAAAUGAUCCUUUUAGCGAAGCUUGACCGCCUCGCUAUCGGAACGAUCUUACGAAGCAAGCUGGUCUUUCUAGUCAAUGUCCGGCUGCGGAUAGCGUUCAUCGAGGGCGCGUGCCGCAAGGCAAUUCUGCAGACAACAUUCUGCCGAGUGUGUGGACAUUGAUAAUGAGAGCAAUCAAGUGCCUUAAGGGUGUUCGGUGGAUGCCUUGGCGCUGAGAGGCGAUGAAGGACGUGCUACGCUGCGAUAAGCCGUGGGGAGCUGCGAAGAAGCUUUGAUCCGCGGAUUUCCGAA
This 600-nucleotide unclassified non-coding RNA is filed under the name uncultured Bradyrhizobium sp. RNAcentral's name for it is "partial 16S-23S ribosomal RNA intergenic spacer". The stretch from base 482 to 600 matches the Rfam family "Bacterial large subunit ribosomal RNA", at positions 1 to 118 of the family's 2925-position model. Lineage: Bacteria; Pseudomonadati; Pseudomonadota; Alphaproteobacteria; Hyphomicrobiales; Nitrobacteraceae. The record is from RNAcentral.